GAUGAACGCUAGCUACAGGCUUAACACAUGCAAGUCGAGGGGAAACGACAUCGAAAGCUUGCUUUUGAUGGGCGUCGACCGGCGCACGGGUGAGUAACGCGUAUCCAACCUGCCCACCACUUGGGGAUAACCUUGCGAAAGUAAGACUAAUACCCAAUGACGUCUCUAGAAGACAUCUGAAAGAGAUUAAAGAUUUAUCGGUGAUGGAUGGGGAUGCGUCUGAUUAGCUUGUUGGCGGGGUAACGGCCCACCAAGGCGACGAUCAGUAGGGGUUCUGAGAGGAAGGUCCCCCACAUUGGAACUGAGACACGGUCCAAACUCCUACGGGAGGCAGCAGUGAGGAAUAUUGGGCAAUGGACGAGAGUCUGAACCAGCCAAGUAGCGUGCAGGAUGACGGCCCUAUGGGUUGUAAACUGCUUUUAUAAGGGAAUAAAGUGAGUCUCGUGAGACUUUUUGCAUGUACCUUAUGAAUAAGGACCGGCUAAUUCCGUG
RNAcentral lists this ribosomal RNA (492 nucleotides) under uncultured bacterium. Its description in RNAcentral is "partial 16S ribosomal RNA". It matches the Rfam family "Bacterial small subunit ribosomal RNA", at positions 28 to 507 of the family's 1533-position model. The record is from RNAcentral.